Molecule: RNA transcript, 5393 nt
Organism: Nycticebus coucang (slow loris)
Lineage: Eukaryota; Metazoa; Chordata; Mammalia; Primates; Lorisidae
Exons: 3
Source: RefSeq, a predicted model, not a curated record
UCCAACAGCUACUCGCGGACAGCGCGCCUCGUUUUCCGCGCGGCAGCCGAGAGAGGACGGUUCGGAAAUAACUGCUAGCUAUGCGGGUGGGCGGGAAGAACUGCUACCUAUGCGGAUGGGAAAGCGGCUGAGCCUUCCAGUCGGUAGCUGGGCUCUUGGAGGGAGAUGGGUGUUUCCGGAUGUACAUCAGUCAACUGCGGGGAGACUGGAAAACAUGCUGGCAAUUCAAAAACGUUUAAAAAUGGUAAGGCAUCUGUGAGACGUGGUAUAUUCCUGGGUUUUUUUUUUUUUCUUCCCGAUUUGAAAUACAUUGUUUCAUUUGAAGUAAUUUUAAGAGUUAGCUGUCAACAGGAUGAAUGUAAUGGUUCUAUAAUCCGUGGAUUCCUUAAUUUUAAGCCCUAUGUGGUUUGAAUUGUUGCUAAGUGCUGGGAUUUCUAGAAAUUUACAAGCUAAGUGUUUGUUUGAUAAAAAUACAGGUAGUGCAUGAAAGUCUGAAACAUAAAUACAAAAGAACUCAACGACCCAUUUAAAAGCGGUAAUAUUGCCAAUGCUGUGUUACCUCCCACCCCCAUUCCCCUGCCCCCCAUCUAGUAGUACCUAUCUCUAGUUUUGUGUCCAUCGGUUUCUUGAUCCUGUGGCUGGGAGGUGAGAUGGAUAGUUUAUUAUUCAUAUGUAUCUUUAAACAUAGGCAUUAUAAGAAUGAGUAUGCAUGUAGUUGUCUGUAGUUCCUGUGAAUCAUAAUACUAAACUGAAAUUUUCCAAAUUAGAAUUAUUCACAAGCAGUAAUUUUAUUCCUCAUACUCAAGUGAAAUAUUUCAGCAUUUCAAGACAUGAAAAUAAUGAUAGUUUAGCAGGGUCCAAACUUGUAUGUCUUCAUAAAUCAUAUCAAUAAUUGUCUAGCUCAAUGAUUUAUACUCCUGAGGUGCUGUGUGACAUUUGUGUGGCCCUGGCCAUCUCCUUUGCCCUGUUUGUGUACAUUCAGUUAACUUAAACUUAAUUCUGUAGGAAUGUGUCUGGUAAUGCUGACAGUGUAAGGCAUCCCUUCUCCAAAACUACUAGAUUUGCCAUUGUACUGUUUUCAGGUGAAAAUCUUCACCCUAGUUUCUGUACAUCUAGCAUUUAACCUGACUUAGUGCAUUCUAGUCAAGCUCUAGGACAGAAAAGCAAUGGUUGUCUACUCAUUAGGACCAUUGUGUCUUAAAAUCAAUACUGUGAUGAUGAAGGAUAUAAAAUGUUUCCAUCAUUUAUGUAAUUUUUAGGUACUAACCAAUCAAAAGAUUUAAAACACUCAAGUCAUUAACAGAUGUUUUUAAAUUUCGCGUUUGUCAGUUAAUACUAUCAGAAGUAAUGAAACAGGAAUUGUGUUCUUUUAUUCCAUUAGAAAUGUAUUGAACAAGAGAUACUGGUACUUUUAUUAAAAAGUGGGUUGGAGUCCCAAAAGGUAGGUUGGGUUCCUUAGAGGAAUGACAUUUUGUUGUUGUUGAGACAGGGUCCCACCCUAUGCCCCUGAGCAGAGUGCAGUGGGCGUGGUAGCUCACCACAGCCUCAGACUCAGGCUGCAGGCACCCCUCUGCCUCAGCCUCCGGAUGCCGCUGGGAUUACAUGUGCUCAAGGCAGCACCCGGCUGGGUUUUUCCAUUUUUUUCAUGAAUCGGGGUCUCACUGUCGCUCAGGCAAGUCUCUAACUCCUGAGCUCAAGCAAUUGAUUCUCCCUCCUCAGCCUCCCACAGUGCUGGGAUUACAGGCAUGAGCCACUGCGCCCGGCAGGAAUGAAAUUUUUAUUAGACUAUUCCUUCAUAUAACAUGCCAAACAAAUGCAAUUACAAAUGGGAAUUGACAGUGAAAAUUUAAUUUUUAGGUCUGACAAAUCCUAUGAAUUUUGAAGGUGUGUGAAGGUCAUUGUGACAGAUGUUUUCCAAAAGCUUAACAGAAAAUGGCAAUGAAAAAGUAGAACCGCCACUGCAUAUAUUGAGGUACAAAAAGUGUUAAAUGACAUCUUUUUGGGAAUCGUGGUGCUAUUGUUACUAACAAGCAAUACACAAAAUGUUUGAUGUGUUAUCGACGUUGAUAAUGGUGGCAUAAUGAUGACUUAAAUUUUUGCCGUUUACCCAGCUGAGGAUAUCUUUGAAGAAAUAAUUCUUAGACUGAGAUGCCAGUAAACUAUAUUGGUUUAUGUUAAUGGUAUGUAGUACAAUUUUUUACUAAGAGGCUAAAUGUUCUUUCUCCUUAGCACAUAGGUAGCUGCAGAUGGAUGUCCUUUAGCUGCAGUUUUUUGAAAUACUCCUUUGUUGCCUCAGAGGUGUGCCAUGCAACAUUAUGGAAGAAAGAACGAAGACUGCAAGAAAACAGAUGAACAGAAGCAAAUGAUGAAAAUGAAUACUUUACUUGGUUUUACUAACUUCAUUAUAAAUGAUAUAGAAAAUAAAUGUGAGUAAUUAUUUUAAUUGCUGGGCACUAAAGUCUCUUUUCUUUUAAAAUAGCUGUAUUCUUUUUUUUUUUGAGACAGAGCCUCAAGCUGUCACCCUGGAUAGAGUGCCAUGGCAUCACACAGCUCACAGCAACCUCCAACUCUUGGGCUCAAGAGAGGCUCCUGCCUCCGCCUCCCAAGGAGCUGGGACUACAGGCGCCCGCCACAACGCCCGGAUAUUUUUUGGUUGCAGCUGUCGUUGUUUGGCGGGCCAGGGCUGGAUUGGAAGCCAUCAGCUCAGGCGUACGUGGCUGGCGCCUUAACUGCUUGAGCCACAGGCGCCGAGCCAAAAUAGCUGUAUUCUUAAUAGUCACUACUAAUCAGACCUGUUUUUAGCAUACUUUAACAAUGUAAUCGGCUCAUUUGUGGGUGGUGAUCUCAUUGAGAUAAAGCAUGGUGAGAUAUUUCCUGUACUCCCUCCCCACUUUCCCUUUGUAGCUUUUGGUAAUUUCUGGAGAGGCCCUAAUCGCUGCAUGUGUCAUAUCUGGCUUCCCCUUUGUAAUUCUCUAUUGUACCUGAAAAACCGGUAGGACUCUUGAAUGCUUGAAUGCAAUCAAAUUGUCCCUUACGUAAAAGCUAUCACCUUUCUGUGAUUAUAGAUUUUAUUUAAGAUUUAAAUUUUAAGGGCCCGGGCACUGUGGAUCACCCCUGUUGUAUUCCUACCAUUUUGGGAGGUGAGGCGGGUGGAUUGCCUGAGCUCUCAGGUUUGAGACCAGUCUGACCCAGAGUGAGACAUUUCUGGCCACAUGCACCAAGGCUGGCGGGUUUGAACCCAGCCAGGGCCAGCUAACCAACAAUGGUAACUGCAAAAAAAAAAAAAAAAAAUUGGGUGUUGUGGUAGUCGCUUAUAGUCCCAGCUAUGUGGGAGGCUGAGGCAGGAGAAUUGCUUAAGCCCAAGAGUUUGAAGUUGCUGUGACAGCACAGCGCACUACUGAGGGCGACAUAGUGAGAUUGUCUCAAAAAAUAAAGGUGGCGUAGUGGGUGCCUGUAGUUCCAGCUACUUGGGAGGCUGAGGCAAGAGGAUCAUUGGAACCUAAAAGCUUGAGGUUGCUGUGAAUUAUGAGGCCAUAGCAGUGUACCAAGUGCAACAGUGAGCCUAUCUUAAUUAAAAUUUUUUUUUUUUUAUUUUAUUCAGUUUGACUUCAUCUUUGAACACAGUAAUCCUAAUCUUAGUACAAGGAAUAAUUGUGUUAUGUUAGGAGAAACUGGGCCAGCAGGUCUGUCUAGGAUUAAAAGAAUUGAAUUUGAAAACUAGAUUUCUCGCUAGGUGAAGAUAAAGACAGGGAAGUGUUCUGCCUUCAUCCCAUAGAGAACCGUAAAAGAGUUGUACACGAGAAGCACAAGAUAAGCAUCUUGCUAACUGGUAACAUAAAAUUGUAAUAUGUAAACGUUAAAAACUGGCUUUUCCUUCUAACAUUGUCCCUGGCACUAGUAGGUGUUCAGUGAUAGUGAUCUAGAUCUCAGAGAGUUGGUGAGUAGUCCUGCUGUUUGGUUAAGAAACUGAAGUGCCAAUUUUGAAAGAUAUGAUGCAUGAUAGCAUCUUGGUUAAUAAAGUGACAGUUCGGUGAUACUUUGCUUUUCUGUGAAUGGAUGUGAUCUUUCGAUAAGGCUUUGAAGAAUGAGAACUAAAGAUUUAAGAAUUUUUUACAAGAUACGUUUUCUCAUGAUGUUUCUGCCUUUUCAGAGCAGAAAAACUUUCCUUCGAAAAUGAGGACUGGGGGUGGUGCCUGUGUCUCAGUGAGUGGGGCACCAGCCCCAUAUAUCGAGGGUGGCGGGUUUGAACCCAACCCUGGCCAAACUGCAACAACAACAACAAAUUAGCCAGGUGUGGUGGGCUCCUGUAGUCCCAGCUACUCGGGAGGCUGAGGCAAGAGAAUCACCUAAGCCCAGGAGUUGGAGGUUGCUGUGAGCUGUGACACUGUGGCACUCUACUGAGGGCAAUAUAGUGAGACUGUCUCUAAAAAUACAAAAAUGGAGACUGGGCUUCCAAAUUGAUUUCUUUGCCUUAUGGAACCUUUCUUGUAACUAGUGAGGGCUAAGUAGCCAAUUUAUAAAUUACAGUCUCCUUGAUAACAUGUAAAUUUUCAUUUAACCUGACACGUGCAUAAUAUAUGGGGAAUUCCCAAGGCUUUUCCAGAUUCUGUAUUUAGGGCUUGUGAAACUAUGUCAUAGACAUGUCAAAAAAAGCAUGAAAAGACCUUAAAUUUGAAGUUUAAGGUUAUGUAAUUUUUUUUAAAGUUUUGAUCUACCACCAGGAGUCAUACAAAAGGUUAUAUAUAUUCUUUACUCACUAGUUUUGACAAGUUCACAAGUGUAAGGGAAAAAAAAUAGUUUAACAUUAUUUGUAGAUAAAGCAUUAUUGCCAUCUUGUGACAAAUAUAGUGGACUACAUAAAAGUUAUUUUUCACCUUGUUCAGCUUAUUUAUAUUUUUGUCUAUUCACCAUUGAUAUUCUGAGCUAACCAGAAUUUGUUUUUUAAGUAGUAUUCUCCUUGACAACUUUAUCACUUAUAAAUUGUCCACACUGUUCUAAGUUUUAAAAUUCUGCUGUUGGCUAUAGAGGUUUGGAUUAGUAUUUAUCGCAUUAGGAAUUAAUUUUGAGGAGGCCAUACUUAAAUUUUUAAAAAAUCACUCUCAAAUACACUUUCUCCCCUGCUUAGGUAGGAAUGAAGAAAAAAUGAUUUCCUCAAGUCACUUAUUCAUCACUAGAGAAGAUACCUGUCCCUGGUCCAUAUGUGGCAAUAAACUGUUCGAGCUGUCGUUGGCACUGAGUCAGGUAGAUAUCCCUUUCCUCUAAAUACUCUUCAUUAUGCAAUUCAAAUGGAAAUACUGCAUUUGGAGCAACACAAAAUACAGCGGCUCCUAAAGAAGGAAACAGAAUGUAAGUGAGGAAUACUUAAAAUGCCAAAUGUGAGGGCGGUGCCUGUG